CGGGACGGGUGAGUAAUGUCUGGGAAACUGCCUGAUGGAGGGGGAUGACUACUGGAAACGGUAGCUAAUACCGCAUAACGUCGCGAGACCAAAGAGGGGGACCUUAGGGCCUCUUGCCAUCGGAUGUGCCCAGAUGGGAUUAGCUAGUAGGUGGGGUAACGGCUCACCUAGGCGACGAUCCCUAGCUGGUCUGAGAGGAUGACCAGCCACACUGGAACUGAGACACGGUCCAG
This 233-nucleotide ribosomal RNA is filed under the name uncultured bacterium. Its description in RNAcentral is "partial 16S ribosomal RNA". It matches the Rfam family "Bacterial small subunit ribosomal RNA", at positions 100 to 334 of the family's 1533-position model. The record is from RNAcentral.